CAGUAGCCGCGGUAAUACGUAGGUGGCAAGCGUUGUCCGGAAUUAUUGGGCGUAAAGGGCUCGCAGGCGGUUUCUUAAGUCUGAUGUGAAAGCCCCCGGCUCAACCGGGGAGGGUCAUUGGAAACUGGGAAACUUGAGUGCAGAAGAGGAGAGUGGAAUUCCACGUGUAUCGGUGAAAUGCGUAGAGAUGUGGAGGAACACCAGUGGCGAAGGCGACUCUCUGGUCUGUAACUGACGCUGAGGAGCGAAAGCGUGGGGAGCGAACAGGAUUAGAUACCCCCGUAGUCCCUGUCUCUUAUAC
RNAcentral lists this ribosomal RNA (301 nucleotides) under uncultured bacterium. RNAcentral describes it as "partial 16S ribosomal RNA". It matches the Rfam family "Bacterial small subunit ribosomal RNA", at positions 509 to 807 of the family's 1533-position model. The record is from RNAcentral.